This 506-nucleotide ribosomal RNA is filed under the name uncultured bacterium. Its description in RNAcentral is "partial 16S ribosomal RNA". It matches the Rfam family "Bacterial small subunit ribosomal RNA", at positions 29 to 523 of the family's 1533-position model. The record is from RNAcentral.
AUUGAACGCUGGCGGCAGGCCUAACACAUGCAAGUCGGACGGUAGCACAGAGGAGCUUGCUCCUCGGGUGACGAGUGGCGGACGGGUGAGUAAUGUCUGGGAAACUGCCCGAUGGAGGGGGAUAACUACUGGAAACGGUAGCUAAUACCGCAUAACGUCGCAAGACCAAAGUGGGGGACCUUCGGGCCUCACACCAUCGGAUGUGCCCAGAUGGGAUUAGCUGGUAGGCGGGGUAACGGCCCACCUAGGCGACGAUCCCUAGCUGGUCUGAGAGGAUGACCAGCCACACUGGAACUGAGACACGGUCCAGACUCCUACGGGAGGCAGCAGUGGGGAAUAUUGCACAAUGGGCGCAAGCCUGAUGCAGCCAUGCCGCGUGUAUGAAGAAGGCCUUCGGGUUGUAAAGUACUUUCAGCGGGGAGGAAGGUGCUGAGGUUAAUAAGCUCAGCAAUUGACGUUACCCGCAGAAGAAGCACCGGCUAACUCCGUGCCAGCCGCCGCCGUAA